GCGACCCCAGGAUGGGCGAGGCCACCCGCCGAGUUUAAGCAUAUCAAUAAGCGGAGGAGAAGAAA
RNAcentral lists this non-coding RNA (65 nucleotides) under Polystachya concreta. Lineage: Eukaryota; Viridiplantae; Streptophyta; Magnoliopsida; Asparagales; Orchidaceae. RNAcentral also lists the same sequence under 4 other names. The record is from RNAcentral.